RNAcentral lists this ribosomal RNA (836 nucleotides) under Gnaphosa kompirensis. Its description in RNAcentral is "eukaryotic LSU rRNA". It matches the Rfam family "Eukaryotic large subunit ribosomal RNA", at positions 368 to 939 of the family's 3401-position model. The record is from RNAcentral. Lineage: Eukaryota; Metazoa; Arthropoda; Arachnida; Araneae; Gnaphosidae.
AUCAGACUUUGAGAGNAGUUCAAGAGUACGUGAAACUGCUCAGAGGUAAACGGGUGGGCCCUCGAAAUCCUGUGGCGAGAGGAUUCAGUCUGGCGUCUGCGUUGAACUGGUGGAAACCGAGCAGGGCUUCCCGGAACGGGGCCGUCUGCCGGUUCAUUUCGCGGGUGCCAGACGCACUUGUCUCUCGUCCGAAGGACGCCGCAGCCGGUCGGGCAGUGCAAGCGCGACGGCCUGAAGGCGGGGAAAUGGCAGGUGGCCGGUGUGCAGUCUAGGCUGUUCGCCGGUUGUUAGCCGUCCCCGCAGUGGCUCGUCGCCCGACCGAGGUGUCACGAGGCCCUCAUGGGCUCCAUCGCCUCCUCCUUGGGUUUGCGGAACGGAAGGUCGCAGGCGAGCACCGCCGUCCCGAACCACUCCUCCGGAGUGGCCGGGCGAACGGGGAGCGUCGUUGGUGAUCUCGGAUCCGUCGGAGGUCGGCGGCUGGCGGCGAGUAGGUCGGUCACCCACCCGACCCGUCUUGAAACACGGACCAAGGAGUCUAACAUGUGCGCGAGUCAAUGGGUCUUGAACAGGCCCAGGGGCGCAAUGAAAGCAAAGGUCUGCCUGACGCAGACCGAGUUGGGAUCCCGUACUGUAAAAUUGAUGGGCACAACAAAAACCUGUCCUGUCCGUCUCCCCUGUGGGGCAGAGUGUGAGCAUACACUUUGACACCAAAAAUAUGGUAAACUAUGCCCAGACAAGAAGAAGCCAGAAAAAACUCUGGUAGAUGUCCACAGCGUUUCUGACGUGCAAAUCUAUCGUCAUAUCCGGAUAUAGGGAAAAAAAAAAAANAAAAAAAA